GUCGCGCAGCUCCAGCCGGUCGCGCGGGUCGGCCAGCUCGAAGAGGCGGAAGAUGCCCAGGCGCCCAUCGCCGCCGCACAGCUGGCCCGGGUGGCCGAAGCAAAUCUGGUCGCAGUCGGUAGCUGGGGCCAGGCGUCCCCGGUCCAGGUCGCUUUCGGAGCCACAGAAGCAGGCGUAGCCGGCCUCCACGCCCGCCAGCUGGGAGCACAGACUGGAGCCAACUCUACCCAGGCAGCUGGCCGUUCCCAGCCUUGCCCAGCCAGGCCCACUCACUGUGAC
Nyctereutes procyonoides (raccoon dog) is the source of this 279-nucleotide long non-coding RNA. RefSeq lists it as uncharacterized. The record is from RefSeq and is a predicted model, not a curated record. Lineage: Eukaryota; Metazoa; Chordata; Mammalia; Carnivora; Canidae. The transcript has 3 exons.